RNAcentral lists this ribosomal RNA (300 nucleotides) under uncultured Rhodovulum sp. Its description in RNAcentral is "bacterial SSU rRNA". It matches the Rfam family "Bacterial small subunit ribosomal RNA", at positions 496 to 795 of the family's 1533-position model. Lineage: Bacteria; Pseudomonadati; Pseudomonadota; Alphaproteobacteria; Rhodobacterales; Paracoccaceae. The record is from RNAcentral.
GGUAACUAGGUGCCAGCAGGCGGGGUAAUACGGUGGCAGCAAGGGUUGGUCGGAAUUACUGGGCGUAAAGAGUGUGUAGGCGGUGUUCUAAGUCUGGUGUGAAAUCUCCCGGCUCAACUGGGAGGGUGCGCCGGAAACUGGAAUGCUCGAGUAUGGGAGAGGUAAGCGGAAUUCCUGGUGUAGCGGUGAAAUGCGUAGAUAUCAGGAGGAACACCUGUGGUGUAGACAGCUUACUGGACCAUCACUGACGCUGAGACACGAAAGCGUGGGUAGCAAACAGGAUUAGAUACCCCAGUAGUC